GAAGAGAUUCAACCUAGCACGGG
Molecule: unclassified non-coding RNA, 23 nt
Filed under: Dictyostelium discoideum
Lineage: Eukaryota; Evosea; Eumycetozoa; Dictyosteliales; Dictyosteliaceae
Source: RNAcentral